GUCCACGCCGUAAACGAUGUCUACUAGCUGUUCGUGGUCUUGUACUGUGAGUAGCGCAGCUAACGCACUAAGUAGACCGCCUGGGGAGUACGGUCGCAAGAUUAAAACUCAAAUGAAUUGACGGGGGCCCGCACAAGCGGUGGAGCAUGUGGUUUAAUUCGACGCAACGCGAAGAACCUUACCUACUCUUGACAUCUACGGAAGUUUGCAGAGAUGCAGAUGUGCCUUCGGGAACCGUAAGACAGGUGCUGCAUGGCUGUCGU
RNAcentral lists this ribosomal RNA (263 nucleotides) under uncultured bacterium. RNAcentral describes it as "partial 16S ribosomal RNA". It matches the Rfam family "Bacterial small subunit ribosomal RNA", at positions 793 to 1055 of the family's 1533-position model. The record is from RNAcentral.